GCGGGGGCCAGCCAUUGUAAUACCUUUCUCAAUAGAAGGAUUGAACACAAACCUAUCCCAUCAGUGUUUUUUUAAGCUAUAGAAAUGCGAAAACAAGCCAGCCUUCUUUGUUCAUGCAUUUAUUCCUAUGCUGAUAGAUAAAUUGAAUGACUGCAAGGCUUGAUUACACAGCCGCGGUGAGGGCGAUUUGAUGCGUAGAAUCGGUGUGUGCGGCGGCUGUCUCAUUUCUUGUAGCUAGAUUGCCUAAUGGGAGAAGCAGAGCACUUGAGAAUGAGGCUGACGAUGUGACGGAUGAGAGAAGGAAGAGUCUUGCCGAGUGUUGCUGAGGGAAUCAUACAGAGCAAUUUAACUUUGUGUUUGUCACUGCCAAUACUUCUUGCUGCAUAACAUUUAAAAAGCCUUUUAACUCCUUUGAGGACUUGUUUGAAGAAACAACAAGAAACCUUGCAUUGAGUUUGAGUCCAGCCUGGGAAUCGCAGUGGUGUAAGUUCAAGAACUUCCCUGUUUGAUUUAUUCUCCUAGUCUCUCGGAUUGAUGGAAACCGGUGUCUAUUGAAUCCUAUAUCAAGACACAUGGAAUGUUCUUGUCUAUUGUUGAUCUAUUGUUUCAUAUGUGAUCAUCAUACAUAUUUUUGUAUACAUUUGAAAUUUGCUAUCUGGUUAUGUACAUCCAUGCAUCUUAUGAUGUUCAAUAGGCAUAUUUUCUCUUUUAAUGUUUCUUUAUUUCUUAAGAUUUUUAAACGUUUUUUUAUUAUUUCUAGUACACUACAAUUUAUGCAAAUAUAAAUCAUUAAACUAUUAAAGCUAAGUCAAAAGCUAUAAAACACAAAGAUAAAGUGAAAAUGAAUUGAAAAUCUUCUAUGACAAUAUUAGGGUCUUUGGUAAACACACCUAAAAGCAUGCUUGUCUGAUGACAAUAAAAUGUACAUGUAUACAAAAUGUACAGAUUGAAUAAUUAUUACCUUUGUUGGAAAUGAAGUAUUGCAUGAUUCACCAUGCCAUAGAUUACAUUCUAGAUGCAACAUUGGAAGGUAUUACAGAUUACAGCUUGAAAAAAAAGGUGCAAGUUUUUGUUGACCUACAUUCACCCCCAUCCCUUCUCUGUGUAUCUUGUUUACCAUUGCUGUGUUGGAAAUCUGAAAGUAUAAAUUCAUUUUUGGUUCACAUCCAAGCAAUAUGAGCUUGACAUACUAAAAGCUUUCCAUUCAGGGCCGGAAAUGAGAAUCCAGAAUGGUCGGGAUCAAAUAUUAUUUUAUUGAAAUAUAAGUCCUGCAUGAUGAAUGAGAAUCUCAUAUGGUAAAAUUGGGGGGCAAUUGGUCAUUUGAUGAAUAGUUCAAAAUUGAUUUCAGGGCUUCUUCCCAGUUACAACAGUCAGAUGAAUUCUAGAUCUUGUCCAGUGAAACAAUAUUUUACACAUUGACUACAAGUACAUGUAUGCAAAGUGGAGUUUUUUUUAUUUUAAAAAGAUCUUAAAACCCUUUUGUGAAAUUACCAAAGUUGGGAAGAAUUUAAGAAAUAAUGUAGGUCUAAAUGUAUAUUUCAUAUUCAUGAUGAGACUUUGAAAGAGGCAUAUAAUGUAGGCUAUUAUAUGUGUCACAAAAAUAAGUGAGUAUAUACAUUGUACUGUAGGUACAGUGAUUUUGCAUUUUAAUUUUUAUUGAAAAUAUGUUUUGGUUCUUUACUUUUCAUGUGAAAAUUAAUUGAAUUUACCUUUGCAAAAAUGGAAUUCAUGUUCUUGCUGUGUUCAUGUACAUUUUCUAUGAUAAAAUGAAAUUUCCAUUUGGAUCAAGUUUGAAAUUACAGGUUUUCAGAAAUGGAAAUGACAAUUUUGUGAAACAUAAAAAUUCAGUGUUCUUGUGAGUACAUGUAGCAGUCCGAGACAGAUUUUUCCUUUGAUUCAGUUUUUUUUUUUGGGGGGGGUUAAGUUAUUAAAAUGCCUGAACAUGUACAAUGUAUACAGUCUGAUCAGAAUA
Long non-coding RNA from Lytechinus pictus (painted urchin), 1972 nucleotides. RefSeq lists it as uncharacterized. Lineage: Eukaryota; Metazoa; Echinodermata; Echinoidea; Temnopleuroida; Toxopneustidae. The record is from RefSeq and is a predicted model, not a curated record. The transcript has 3 exons.